This 17-nucleotide unclassified non-coding RNA is filed under the name Mus musculus (house mouse). Its description in RNAcentral is "oocyte_clustered_small_RNA3614". The record is from RNAcentral. Lineage: Eukaryota; Metazoa; Chordata; Mammalia; Rodentia; Muridae.
UGGGGCACCCUCCCAGG